Molecule: non-coding RNA, 8518 nt
Organism: Myodes glareolus (Bank vole)
Lineage: Eukaryota; Metazoa; Chordata; Mammalia; Rodentia; Cricetidae
Source: RefSeq, a predicted model, not a curated record
GAGAGAGGGGGGGGGGGGAAAAAGAGUGAGAAAUAGAAGCAUGUUUUAAUCAUUUAUUUCAUUAUUCCAUGCUAGCAUGUAUUCAUAUAUACUGUACUUCCUAUCCAAUAAGGGAACUUCUAGAGGUUAAGGAAUUCUGAGUAAACCUUCUUCCUGGAUGAUUUUACUGUACAGGCCUUGAACUAUUGCUGGUGGUCAAAAUUGAUGGCCUCUUAUAUAUCAUUGAUCUUUGAGGUAGUAUUAACAGAAGGUGUUCAGGUCUUCUGAUAGUGUUAAAUGGCAGCUGUGGGGUAGGGGGUAGGGCACUCAGUGCCCCUCAGAAUAUGAAUUCUCUUUUGGAUCAGUUUAGGUGACAUUUUUUUGCUAACAUAGAGAAGUGACAUAAUAGGAAUUUAAGUGAGAUUCUGGACUGUACCUCUUGUUACUUAAAAGAAGUUCACAGUAGAUUUCCCAGGACCCCGUGGGGUCUCUGCACUGCCAACGAGAUUCUGGCUUAUUUUGUCUUUCUAUUCUGAUGUCUAUGCCAUAUGACUUUUGUCUUCAAAAUUUCCUGGUUGUCACUAACUCGGGCCACCACAUUGAUGAUCACCAAGUCUUGAAAGAAGAACUGGAAAAAGGUAUAUUUAUGUGUGUGUGUGUGUAUACACACACACACACACACACACACACACACACACACACACACACACACAUAUGUGUAAUUCAUUACUGUCCCUUCUCCUAACACACAACCUCUUUUGACAUCUCAUGGCUACUCCAUCUACAAGGGAGAAGAACAUGUUAUUUAGACGGGCAUGUUGCCAGUGCAAGGGCCGCUAAAAAAGAAGGAACAAGCGACAUUGGAUGUGACAACUGUCAACCUUUGCCACACUUUGUACUCUUUCAUCUGCUUCUCAUAAAAAGGCCAUGACAUGGGUCCUAUUAUAAGAUGCUCUUAAAUAUUAUAUUGGUAACUCACCUAUGAGAUAAAAUUCAUCCAAAGCAGACCCAAAAUAUUGAUGUGCUAAGCUGCCCUGUCUCCUGCCACCACCAAGUUGUGCUACCUCCUAGGGCUUAGGAGAUGUGUUUGGUGAAAGCCAAGGCUCUCUAUGUUAGAUAAAGGCCUACAGUGAGACAAAACACGUUAGCCCACAGACGACUGCUCAAACCUUCAGGAUUCUUUCAUAAUGUGUUUACUUAUUGGAGAGAAAGCUAUUACGAGUGGGGUUUUAUUUAGAGCUGUAAAGGAAUAUUGCUGCUCUUUGUUUGCUUUUAGGAGUUUAAAGAUCAGCUUCAGGGUCAAGCAGAUACGCGUUUCAGAUCUAUGCCUUACUGGUUGUGGUUCUGGGACGUCUCUUCUCUUUCUGUAUACACCAAGGAUGUGGUUCUUCCUUCAUGGGUUGUGGUGGGUGUUUACUACCUUGCUUGGCAGUAAACAAACACCCAGUAAAGUAGCUGUUACUAUUAUUAUUUUCCCUCACUAAGGGCAGAGUUUAUGCAGGCUACCUAUAAAUUAUAAUUUGUGAGUUUGACAUUACUUGCAAAGCUCCAGGGUGCCUAUGCCUGGUCCUGGAAUUAAUAACAGGACUUGGGAUCAGGGUCAGUGCUGUUGUCUAAGCUGAUCAGUUUGAGGCCCGUUUGUCCAUGACUUCCUUACCACCCUCAUCAGGGAGCAUGGGGCUUAGAACUUGUGUUUGUUUUUUAACUUACAAGUUUGGACUGAGGUAUUUAUAAGUAGGUUGUGCGGAGAACAGCACUUGAAAUGGUCAAGAAAUAGCGCUGAUGAUACCGAAAACCGAAACAGCAAUGUGUUGCCUCCUUUUUUUAGUAAUGGUUUCAUUAGCAGUACUUGCCGGGAAAAGGGGGCAGCUAAAGACUUAUAAGCCAGAAUCAUUUUCAGACUAGGUGUCGGUGCCCGAAAGGAGUCGAUCACUAUCCAGGAAAACUCUAUUACCGUUUAAUCCAUUAGAAAGAAUCAAGCUUUUACAGAGAAGGGAGACGAUAAUAAAUAUUCUUAAAAUCUCCUAGGAGCAGCAAAUGUUGAGGAGCUGGGAAAGAAAGGAGAGAGAAAAAAUGUUGAAAAUAAUGAGUUUUAGUACUGGAUGAGAGGUUUAUCCGCUCAGGAAAGAAAAGUGUGGGGAAAAAGUCAGCCACAUUAUCACUAUGCUGUGCUUGCGUGUGCUGGGCAUCCGGUGAUGUAACUCCUAGAUAAAUGAAGCAAUGAAACAAAUUAUCUUCAGCAAAUGGGAAGAUGGGAUCAGCGAUGAUGCCAUAGGGCAUGUGUAGGUCAUGAAGGACACGUGAUGAUAAUCAGGUUCAUGGAUUAGGUUCUGGAAAACACUGUGGCAUUUUAGCAUCGGAAUAAAAAAAAAUCCAAGGAUGUCUAGGCUCAUAAAUGCCCAUAAAUACUGUUGACAUUCUCUCUUCAAAUCAAAUGACUUGUGGGAUCCUAACAUGAAAGCCAAGAUGAAGCAUCUCUGGGGUGGGGAUGCCCAGAGCUUGGCUUGUUUGUUCAUGUCCUGAUUUCCUGGCCUCUUAGGCACUUGCUGGCAUCUUAAUCUUGUCCUAGGGGUCUUACGGGCUCUAACCAGCCCCUCAGUCCUUUGACCAAGAGCCCUGGGAGCUAGUCACAGGUUCUAGGCUUACAGAGAGCUAGUCACAGGUUCUAGGCUCACAGAGAGCUAGUCACAGGUUCUAGGCUCACAGAGAGCUAGUCACAGGUUCUAGGCUCACAGAGAGCUAGUCACAGGUUCUAGGCUUACAGAGAGCUAGUCACAGGUUCUAGGCUCACAGGGUGAGUCACGGUGAAGGGUGUUGGUUUUCAUGAAGCUUUGCAGCUGCGAAGGUCACGUCUUCAGUCAUGUGGGUUUCUGGAGAAUUCGGAAGGAGGCAAUUUCUUAAAAACAUGAUCUGGUGACAUGUUUCUCAGACUUGAUAGUCUAAUAACCCCUCCUCCAGUGCCCGUUAUAAGGGAGCCUCCCAUAUUAUUAGGGCCUCUGGUUAGUUAGUAAAUCCGAGAACUGUUGCAAAAUCCCAUCUCGACGACAAGUUAUGUUUUCCUUCAUGAGGCAGUCACCAGGACAAUUUACAAACCCUACACAACUCAUGAGGCUUGAGACUGGGCAGUUGGACCUGAUCCUUAAAUACAACCCCGGCUGCAUCCUUGAAGAGAGUAGUCCUUACCCAAGAAUCUCAGGAUAAAAAUGAAUUUCUUUUAUAAGACUCUCUUCAGCCUCGGAAAACUAAAACUGGGUAUUAGGCAAGAAAGUAACCACUGUACAUCUACCUGCCUCUUCAUGCUGCCCAACCACAGACUUUUCUUCCUGACCUAUAUCAGAUCGAGUCAAUAAUUCUAGAUUCAGAACUUUAUUUAAUAAAUGAAGAUGAAUUCCUCUCAUCUGCUCUAUCUCUCCUGAUGGAGUUGCUUUCCUAUGGAAUUUAGGCUAGCAGUAGGUUGGGUAGGUUUAAUAUGGGACUGGUGGUCAUGAGUUCUCAGGUUAGGCCAUUACACACACAGGCACAUACACACACACACACACACACACACACACACACACACAGACACACACACAUGCACAUGCAGACACACACACAUGCACAUGCAGACACACACACACACACACACACAUACACACACAUUCUGCUUUGAGGCUGCUGCUCUUUGUGAAGUGGAGGUAAUGUCCAAUGUGUGAGCCAGGAAUCUUCUUUGCUCUAACAGGUGACACAACCCUUACACCCCCCUGAGGACUACAUUCUAGAACUGUAUUCCUUGUAUACAUAACCACAUAGAUACUUCACAAGCGAUAUGUGUUUCUAGUUAUUCAGACCCACUGAAGGAAUAUCUACAACCCAGCCUCAGCUGUGGCUAUGUCCCUGUUUUUUAGAGACACCUACGGAUUCCUUAAGGAGUAGCUAGCAUUCAAGGUCAGGACAAGGGCAUAACAUCACACUUUGUCUCUUACCUAAUUACUAGCACUCAAACGUAUUCAAGGUGUUUCCUCUCAGAGGCAGCUUUAAAAAAUCCUUAAAUAGGCUGCCAGCCCAAUUGUCUAGUGGCUUUUGAAGACAGAAAUAUGCUUUGCUUAUAUAAUUUUACAAAAGCCAAUGCCAGGUUUUUCUCUCCUGUUUAAGGUUGUUGUCUUUCAGUGAGGUCUUUGGUCAAUCCCUUUCUAUCCUUGGCAUCUCUGUCUCCUCAAUAAAGCUUUCCUUGGGGGCUUUACGCCCAGGUAGUUGAAGAUGACAUCCAGGAGAAUGAUAAAGACAAAGUGAGACAGGUUUUGUAGGUAGCAGGGUCCUGGGUAUGCUCAGACAUUUAGUCUCAGUAGGCAACAAGGUAAGGCGGGUGAUAGCGACUUUUUGCUUGGCACCUGUUAUACGCCACACGUCAGUGCAUACAUAAUCUUCACAGCCCUUUUAAACAGACAGUAUUGUUCUCAUUUCACAGGUGGAGAAACUGAGGCUUACACAACUAAGUUACUUGCUGAGGGUCACACAGGUAAUAAACCACGGUAGCAAGCUUCCACGCUAGGUCUGCCAGGUCCUAAUGAGUACCACCCUGUAUCUCAGGGCAAAGGAACUUUGCAUGACACUAGACUUUUCUUCCUGUUUCAGUUGAAAUAGGUCCACCCCAGAUGGGGGUGGGCAAUGAUUUCGUCAAGGGUAGCUCUACACUGACUCAAAAAAAAAAAAAAAACAAUCACUGCAAAUUUGAGUCUCAGAAAGUGACACACAAGGUCUGGGGAGAUAGUUUGGUUGUCAAGGUUCUUGCCAUGCUAGUAUGAGUACUGAAUUUGAUCCCCAGAACUGGCAUGGUGGCAUGUGCCUCUCAUCCCAGUGCUAGGAAGCAAGAUGGGAUCCUUUGGUUAGUCAGUCUAGCUGAGUCAGUAAGUUCUAGGGCAGUGAGAGCUCCCACCUUAAAAAGAAAAACUACUCCCGUAGAUGACAUGUAGGUUGAACUCUGGCCUUCAUGUGUAUCUAUACACACAUAUUCAUCCCCGGAUCCUUCACAGACAUGCACACAUGAGGAAAAUGAAAAGAAGUUAACACUUGAGACUGAGUCUAGAUGGGGCUGUUCUUCUCCUAGGCUAAUCACCCAAGGGCAGACAGCAGUUGGGGCAACAUCCCGAGGGUCUAUCACUUUGAGUAUCUUGACUGAGACUCAUUCUCUUACUCAUACUUAUGAUAAGGCCCAAGCCAUUGACCCCGGGUCAGUCUCUAGCCGGAGAGAGAACUGCCUGUCACGCCUCUUGCCUCUCUUCUCUCCAUACCGUCCCCAGAGACAGCUUGCUGCCCAUUCAAGCCUUACUGAAUCAGGUGGAAGCAGAAGUCAGAACACUGCAGUUCUGAAACGGAUAUAGCUUCAUCACAGUUUGCAAUUCGAGAUUUGCUUAUGUGAUUAUUUUAUUAAAGUCUGCGUAUCCCACCUGAGUAGCUGGCAAGUUCCCCGAGGGCCAGGACCUAGUCUGAUCCGCUCAACAAGUAUCUGCCAGAUAAAUGGUCUACCAGAUGUCUCUUGGUCUUGACCCAGGAUCAGAGACGUGGUAUAUCUGAGAUAGGAACCCUUUCUGCUCUGAUGACCCUAGUUUCUAUAAAAGGCAGGCAGAUGCAGCUGGUUUCUCAGGUGGACUUAGCUGCUGUCAUUUCAGUAGAAAAAUACCCAAAAUAAAACCUUGCCAGGAAUUGAGUCUCUCAGUUCUUGUCACUCCUCAUGUGAGCAGACUUUUGACAAGUUUCUUGUGGAGGGCUCUGUCACCUGGAAACCACCAUUUUUUUUUUUUUUUGGAGAAUUGGUCAUCAAGAGAGACAGGUCACAUGGUUCAAGCCAAUAUUCCAACUAGAGGAAGGAAGGCUAGGAUUGACUCCAGGACCUUUAGGUGACUGACCUUCAAUGCUACAUAGAGAGAAAAAUGGGGCAGUUAGUGACAAGAGGAGGGUGUGUGGUGAGGAAAAAAUGGGCUAUGUUGGGAUCAGGUCUUGAUUUGCUUGAUGACACUGUUCCUGAUAAAUGCAGCCAUUGGACAAUCCAUUGAACAUAUCGAAGGCGUCACCCUCUUCAUCACUCGAAGAAGGGGAGGAGAGUAUCAACUAUAUCUCUUGUUUGUUUCAGAGGUUGUAGUGCAGCCCCCCAUAACAUUGUUUCUGUCAGAGGCUCUGAGAACCACACCACAGAACUUCAUGAAAAUGUAGGUGAGAAUUUCAGGGUUUCCGGGAGUUCAGAUUAUGACCUGGAAACACACAGACUACUGCGCCCCCCUUCAUUCAGCAUCAAGUAGGUGUGCAUACAAAGAUGUCUGCCACAGCUUUCUGUACCUGGCUAUUCCACAGUGGGUUUGGAAAGAGGGUGGACAGGUGGCGUGGAAGGCACAGUGGGCACCAAGUGUGCGGUGGUGUUAGUGAAGAGAAAUUGAGGAAACCUCGCCACCCAGAAGACUCCAUGCCAGAGGCCCCUGACUGACUUUGCCUGAGGUCAUGGGGUGGGCUACCUGUAAUUCAAAGUCUCCAUGAAGAAGCACCCUAGGCAGAAGCUGGUAUGAACAUAAAUGGGUUUUCUUUUUCCAUCUAAUGCAAUGAGAGGAACGCCUGUCGGGGUCACGCUUGGUGGCCCAUGCUGUGGUCUCUAUGACUUUCUUGAGACAGCAUGUUGUCCUUAUUGGAUAACUUUGGUCUGAGGUCUGGCGUCCUUGACCACAGUCACCUUAGAUUGCAUCAGACAGCACCAGGUGGCUACUCAUCACCUGUGUUGUUUCCCAGGGGCCUUUUUCCCUCUCCAAGUUUGAGGGCUUUCUUAGUGACUCCUCCUCCUUUCCCCAGUGGGCUCACCUGUGGCUGAUGACUGGACACUGCAGGACCAAUGGGGAAGGAACGUGGUUUCUUGGGGGUGGGGUCGUCUCAGGGAGUGCAAGAAAACCACUGAUUGCUUCCUCUUCUCUGACUUAGCCAGACCCAACCACCAUUUUUGGGAUCUCAUGAUAGAGACCUCUCAUUGUUUGCUCCCUGGCUGCACUAGCAGCCUUACAAGCAAUAUCAUAUCAUAACUCAAGUAUAGUUCUACCUAUCUUCUCUCAGAUCUUCUAGAUAACUUUUAUACAGUCAUGUCCCCGGCCCUUGCCCCUUUUCACACUCUCUAUUUUCCUUUCCGUCUUGAAUAUGACAUAGAUUGCUAGAAUGUAUAAAUGGAAUGUUUAUUGUUCUCCUCUGUGGACUCUCCUGGUUCAAGCAUUAGUGACUAGAAAGCCCACAUUUACAUAUACACAGCAACGCUUUGUUGGCUUACAUUUUUUUUUUAAAAAAGGAAAUUUUGUGUGAAUUGGGAGGGAAAAUCUUUCUGUAGUAUGUCAAGUCCCUCUGACCAAAGAACAAAGUCUUUCUUCCUGUUUAGAAAAAAAAAAAUCAGCCAUUGUCCAUAAAUGAAAACAGCGACUUUGAAAACUUCGGUGGUGAGCUUCACGCUAAGAAGAGCACCUGCAGUCGCGUUUCAGUAGGGGCUGUGAACGAGCCCGUGGCCUACCCGAUCUCAGGCUUCCCAGAAGACCUCAGCUGUCUCGGGCCACCAAGACAAACAAGACUCUUCACGUUAAAGUGUCAGCAACUUUUCAGAGUUUGUUUUCAGUAGAAGCUAGGGCAAGUCCGCUAGCCCCAGGCUUGCAGUCCUAUUGUUGAAUUAUUUGUUUUGGUUUUGCUACAAACACAGAGAGAGCAUGAGUUGUCCUUCACCUUAAUGAGCUCUGUUUUCUUUUGGAUGAUAUUGAACACCAGCAGCGAAAGAAAACAUUCACAGUGGUCGUUGGGAGUGAUUCAGACAGCGCCUUAAGUGAUAGUGUGUGUCCUGUGACCUUCCAUCUAGGUGGCUUUUAUCUUUCCAAGUGGCCGCCGUGGCUGUAGCCUUGAGGUUCAACUUUCCAACUGAAGCCUGAACCGCCUGUCAGGCUGGGACAGAAAUGUUCCUAUAGCUGUGAAGACGCCUGUUCUAUGGCUCCCUGGUGGUGUAAAUUCGUGUUUGACCUAUAUAUUACAGAGUUUUUAGGCAGAGCUCUUAAUUGUCCAGUCUGCUGCUUGGCCUGGCGACCCAAGGGGAAUCUCAAUGGCGGAGGCAAGGAUUUUUUCUCAGGCAGCACCUAUCCCACAUGGGUUCUUUAAAAGCUAUACUGAAAGACAGGUUACUGACGACUAAGACCUGGCGACUGGCUCUUUAGUUGAGUAGUACGUGCGCUGUGGUUUGCAUAAGAUUAUUAAAUAAAUAGGUGCUGAUGAUUUUGCAUAUUUCCUUAGUGAGAUUUUAUUGUGCUGUCAUUGAGAAAACCAGAGUGCCAUGCUUAUGUAGCUCAGCAGAAACCUGUAUUCUCUCAGCUUGGUGGAGCGUGAGCAUUGGUGCCAGUGUGCAUCCGGGGACUGUGGGAUGUGACUUGUUGGCUUCAAACUACCGUGCUGUGCACCUCCAGGUGGAAUGGCAGCCGCAGGACUCUUCUUUUUGUGACGUGUAGUGGUCUGGGUGUGUGUGUGGCAGGGGAAGCGCAACACCCCCUGCUGACUGUUCACACUA